GUGUACCCUUGGCUUUUGAUUUCAUGGUGGUACAAAGAUGACAGAAUUCUGGAGAAAUCCCAGAUUGCAUGGUGGUGUUGGAAGCUUUCCCAGUCCAGGAGUCGCUGCAGAAGUUUCUCUGCGGGCUGACAGGGAAGAGCACCUCAAGGCUGGCUCAUUUCAUAGGUACCACUAAGCGCUGAGGAGAGUCGUAAGCCAGGCAGAUAAUCUUAAAAAGCAUGUGUGUGUGUAUAUAUAUAUAUAUAUAUACACAGAGAGAGUGAGCAGAUAAUCCAGCAAGAGCAAGAACUUCUGGGGCUGCGGAACCACUUGGGGAAAGGCUCUGCGGUGGGAAGGCGCUUAGCGCAUUCAGAGAAGGGAAAGAUGCGCGGCCCGAUGUAGUGAGUGAGGGGCGUGCCCUGAGAUGAGCCUCCAGUCGUGCGUGGGGAAGUGCCUGCAGGAUCACCUGCUGAGAGAGUGCUCUUCCCGCUCUGGCUGCAGUGGCCGUGGCUAUGAUGGGCUGGAGGCUGGAGGUGGGUGGUCGGGCAGCCCUAGCUGAAAGACCCCGUGGGCCUGGGGAGACUGAGUGGGACCCCAGGUCUGCCUCCUUCUAGCUGUGUGAACGAGGGCCAGUCCCCUGACUCUCCCUGGGUCCAAUAUUAAGCUGGGCAUCUGGCGUUUUAGCUUCCUACCUAGUAAAGUCAAACACAUUACCGGUGAAAUGGCCUUUUAAAGAUAAACAUAUGAAAUGCAACACAUGAAAAUACUUUUUUUUAGCAUCAUAACUGCAGAUUAACUUUAUCUUAAUUUUUAAUUAGAUCUAAUAAGCAGCAAGUUGCAACACUUCAGCUUUUGGUUUCUGCCUCUGUUAAGCAUUUCACUGUCUCGUGCCGCAAUGUGGGGAAUAAAUGAUGUGUUCUCCUUAUUGAGAACCUGCCUGGCGUCAGCUACCUCAACAGUGGGCAAGGCUUGCAAGCCUAGAGUUGGAGAGCAAGGGUCCAGGGAUGCUGUGAUGGUCCCCAAAGGGAAAAGGAGUAGAGAGCGAAGGGUCUAAACUGUUCAGCCUAAUACAGGAGGGACCCAGGAGGUGAGCAUCUGUGCUCUGUUCACCCCCAUGUCUCCGCCACCCUCGUUCUUUGAGUGCCCACAUUACUGUUCCACCUCGGAGGUGCCCAGAUGCCUGAAGCACGGAACACGGGUGGCAGCCUGUGGUGAGGAGGAAAUCAAACAACUCGCUCCAUCUACAGAACGUUUACUGAUGCCCUCCUUUGGGCCAGAAACAGACAGACACUGGGAAUCCAGAAAAGAUUUCAAGACAGUAAACAGAUCUGUAAUACAGUGAGGAAAAGCCCUUGAGGGAAGUUCAAGGUGCCCGGAGCAAGAGCUGGCUCACUUUCCCUGGAAAGGGGGUGGGGUGGGUACUGGGAGAGCCGUCACAAAGGAGCUAUUUGAGCCUGGCUCAGCAGGCAAGACAAG
This 1455-nucleotide long non-coding RNA is filed under the name Equus caballus (horse). Its description in RNAcentral is "lncRNA (ENSECAG00000054622.1)". Lineage: Eukaryota; Metazoa; Chordata; Mammalia; Perissodactyla; Equidae. The record is from RNAcentral.